Amphiprion ocellaris (clown anemonefish) is the source of this 704-nucleotide long non-coding RNA. The record is from Ensembl. Lineage: Eukaryota; Metazoa; Chordata; Actinopteri; Pomacentridae.
GUUGAUGACGGCAUUCUGGAGCAGGACCAGAAAGACCACGACCAAGCAGCCUUGAGAUCUUAGGCAGCAUCUCCCGCAGGUCCCUCUCUAUCUCCCCACACAUCCACCAACCACUGGAACACAUCUCCAAAGUUCUGCCGGGCCAGCUCAGCUUCCCCUCAGAAGAAGUGCCGCCACCUGCCAGAUGAAGGAGCCUUUUGAGAGGCAGCUGGCAUCGUGAUUGGACUGUACUUUGGUCUGUUCCAAUCCAGCUUCAGCUCCAGAGACGGCAGGCGGGACGAGUCAACGGAGGCCGGGUGGACGAAGACCAAAGAACUACAGACUCUUCACAACCUGCUCAAACUCUUGGUACAGGACCUCACCACACGGAUCAAGAAGGAUUCUGUCUCAUUUCUACUCUGAAGAUCACCUUCUCCUGCUCAAACUGCUGACAAAUGUUUCUGCUGCUCUAAAGUCUGGUCUCCAGAACUUCCUAGAAACUCUCAAAGUCUCUUCUGCUGCAGAAAACCUCACUAAACCCCAUGGAGGGGCCUCAAGAUAGUCGUCCAAAUGAAACCGUACAAAAACCAAACUAGCACAACCCAAACGCUAAAGUCUCCUGCAGCCUACCAGAGAACCUCUGAGAACAGAGAAUCAGGAUAGGAACUCUUACCUUCUGGACAACCAACGUUGGUUCUCAAACAAGAAUACAGAAUGUGUCUGAC